Molecule: ribosomal RNA, 468 nt
Filed under: uncultured bacterium
Lineage: Bacteria
Description: partial 16S ribosomal RNA
Rfam family: Bacterial small subunit ribosomal RNA
Source: RNAcentral
GAUGAACGCCGGCGGCGUGCUUAACACAUGCAAGUCGAACGGUGAAGGCGGAGCUUGCUCUGCUGGAUCAGUGGCGAACGGGUGAGUAACACGUGAGCAAUCUGCCCCUGACUCUGGGAUAAGCGCUGGAAACGGCGUCUAAUACUGGAUACGAGCUGCGAAGGCAUCUUCAGCAGCUGGAAAGAAUUUCGGUCAGGGAUGAGCUCGCGGCCUAUCAGCUUGUUGGUGAGGUAAUGGCUCACCAAGGCGUCGACGGGUAGCCGGCCUGAGAGGGUGACCGGCCAAACUGGGACUGAGAAACGGCACAGACUCCUACGGGAGGCAGCAGUGGGGAAUAUUGCACAAUGGGCGAAAGCCUGAUGCAGCAACGCCGCGUGAGGGACGACGGCCUUCGGGUUGUAAACCUCUUUUAGCAGGGAAGAAGCGAAAGUGACGGUACCUGCAGAAAAAGCGCCGGCUAACUACGUG